RNAcentral lists this unclassified non-coding RNA (482 nucleotides) under Hevea brasiliensis (rubber tree). Lineage: Eukaryota; Viridiplantae; Streptophyta; Magnoliopsida; Malpighiales; Euphorbiaceae. The record is from RNAcentral.
GUGCUUCCAAUAUUGAGGCAUAUAUUAGCUGAGACGGUGCUGUGCUCGGUUGCAUAUGCAGGCAGCCAAGAAAUGCAGCCUCUCCCAUCUCUUGUAACAGCCAGAUUCUUCAUCAUCUUUCACCAUCUCAGCUCAAAAUUCCUCUUUGGCUUCUUGGUGGUUCCUAGUUGCUUACUCCGAUCGGAGAAUGGCAAGAACCAUGGUGAGGCAUGGUUCACAUGCACUGAAGCCCCACAAUUUUCUUGUGCAAUGCAACGGGGGUAUAUUUAUACAAGAGAAUAGGACUAUCAGCUACCUGUUAACAGAAAAUCUACACGGAGAAAAAAUUAAAUUAGAGGCUGUAUCACAUAGAACAAUACAAAAUGCACUAUGAAUUGCAUUAGAUACAAGAUUAUCACAAGUCUCUUUGUUAUCCAAUUUUGACUCACAUAUUGUCUGCCAACCUAACUCUUUCCACCCUAGAUGGACAUAAUAUGUUGUCU